GUUUAUCAAAAACAUGUCUUUUAGAAUUUAAUUUAAAGUCUAACCUGCCCACUGAAAUUUUGAAUGGCCGCAGUAUUUUAACUGUGCAAAGGUAGCAUAAUCAUUAGUCUUUUAAUUGGAGGCUGGAAUGAAUGGUUGGAUGAGAUAUUAACUGUUUCAUAAAAAUUUUAAAUUGAAUUUUAUUUUUUAGUUAAAAAGCUAAAAUUAAAUUAAAAGACGAGAAGACCCUAUAAAUCUUUAUAUUUUAUUGGGGUGAUAUUAAAAUUUAUUGAACUUUUAAUUUUUAAUUUACAUUAGUUAAUGAGUUUAUGAUCCAUAAAUUAUGAUUAAAAAAUUAAGUUACUUUAGGGAUAACAGCGUAAUUUUUUUAGAAAGUUCUUAUUGAUAAAAAAGAUUGCGACCUCG
This 405-nucleotide ribosomal RNA is filed under the name Apocephalus antennatus. RNAcentral's name for it is "partial 16S ribosomal RNA". It matches the Rfam family "Bacterial large subunit ribosomal RNA", at positions 1802 to 2528 of the family's 2925-position model. Lineage: Eukaryota; Metazoa; Arthropoda; Insecta; Diptera; Phoridae. The record is from RNAcentral.